GAUACAUCAUACACGGCUGCCUUCAUAGCUACUCUGGUAGCUAUUCUUGAGAUCAGGAUCUGUUUGGGUUGCAAAACAGUCUCUGGAAUCAAAAUAGUCAUUGAAUAUAGUGUUCCGAUUAUCUAAAAGUGUUGUUGGUUAACUUGGAUUUCCUUCCAGACUGAAUCCAACUCCUCCAGUGGUUCAACCUCCGUGAUUUGCAAAUUGUUGCUUCUUUGUUUCCGAUUAACUGGAAUACUAUAUCUAAUAUUGAGAUCACAGAAAACGUACAUCGUUUCUGUUCUUGUCCAAAAUUGUUUCUCUCUCUCUCUCUCGCCUGAAUAGUUUCUGAAGAGUCAGGUUUCUUCUUUGUUGUUUCACUUUCUCGGUUUGUCCGAUGAUCGUCUCUUCUCCCAAUUUUAUGGGCCUAUUGGGCCUUUUUACUUCACAAUUUAUGGGCUUUCGUAUCAAAAAUACAAAAUAAACAAAAAAAUAAUUUACGGGUUAAAACUUAAAACCCCACGAUUGGAAUGGGUGCAAAAUAAACCAGUCCUAAAAAGUAAAAACUGACAAAUGAAAGAGAUUUGAGAAACUUAAAAGCAUACAAAUAUGAACUAUACCCAUAAUGGAAAGCUAAUAGAGUUAAGACUU
This is a long non-coding RNA of Arabidopsis thaliana (thale cress), 630 nucleotides long. RefSeq annotates it as other RNA. The transcript has a single exon. NCBI's taxonomy places the organism in Eukaryota, Viridiplantae, Streptophyta, Magnoliopsida, Brassicales, Brassicaceae. The record is from RefSeq.